RNAcentral lists this transfer RNA (95 nucleotides) under Acidobacteriota bacterium. RNAcentral describes it as "Acidobacteria bacterium (anaerobic digester metagenome) tRNA-Sec". It matches the Rfam family "Selenocysteine transfer RNA". The record is from RNAcentral. Lineage: Bacteria; Pseudomonadati; Acidobacteriota. RNAcentral also lists the same sequence under 1 other name.
GGGAGGGUGAAGGAUCCGGUGAUCCUUCCGGACUUCAAAUCCGGUAUGGGGCUAUAAACGUCCCGGAUGGGUUCGACUCCCAUACCUUCCCGCCA